UGCAGCUAGUGCUGCUACAUCAUCCUCCCUCCCCUGGAGAAAGAUGAUGCUGAAGCUGCAGGCUGGACAGUGCGGCGCAGGUCCCACGAUACGUGCUUGCUUGAAGCUGGGCGCAGUGGGAAAGAUAUCGAGAUGCGGCUGAGGAGGCGGCUCGAUCGUCAUGCUGUGCGUCAGGCUCGUUCGAAGAGUCGGAAGAAACUUCCAGCUGGGUGAAAUGCGCCAGAGAUGAAGGGUCUAGGUAGGCGGGCUGCAGCCUAUCGAUGGAAAUGUUGUCCUCGCGGCCAUUAAGCUGUACACGGUAGAACAAUUGGCGUAUCGGUGGAGAACUUGAAAGGGGCCGUCGAAAUGAGGCUGAAGAGGCUUACGACGGCAUCCCGGCGAAUAAAAACAUGUGUACAGCUUUCAAGCUCUGGGCUGAUGAAGGGAUGGCUACGAAGGCUUCGUCGGGUUCGGGAAGGGCAGAGCUGGGACAUUGUCAAACGGAGUUGGUGAAGGAAUGACGAUGGCUCGGCUCCUUCGGGGCGCACAGGAUGGAAGAAUUCUGACGACAAACGCAGUGACGUUCCGUAGACGAGUUCUGCGCUGGAGGCGCCGAUGUCUUGCUUGAGGGCCGUCCGAAUACCGAGCAACACUGUAGGAAGAGCGGCUAACCACUGGGUACGCUCACGCGCGCAGGAGAGGGAGGCCUUAAGGUGACGGUGAAAACACUCAACGAGCCCGUUUGCUUGGGGGUGGUAUGAGGUGCGUCCGGUUCGAGGUGUCCAAGUGCUCGUGACAGUUUAUGUUGCGUCGUGUACCUGCAAAGCGGGAAUUGUGGGAAAAUGUAAGCACGCGGCAGCAGUCUGCUGCUACCUGAACAAGGAAGAAGACGCCACAUGUACGGGCAACAACAAAAGAGGGGCAAGCCAAGCUCAAAGCCGGAGGCGUGACAUGACAAAGGGUAUCGCCGACUUAUUUCCGAGUACGUAUGUAUAAUGUGGACAAUGUGCUUUCCUUUAGGCAGGAGCUCGGGUGCAGACCUUUCAUAUUGUAUUUUUAGAGCUGAUGAGGCUACAGUCAUCUCUGCUGCAUCGUUGAUCAUUUGCCAAUGAUCUUUCUCUACUGAAUGCUGCUGCUGUACCCUGCUGCAUCGUUGAUCGUUGGCUAUUCUGUUAUUCUUCAGCAUUUUAUAUGUUUCAUCAACCAGUAUUGUACCGUGUACCUAGUACGUUGCCUCAAAACAAUGCUUUAUUGCUCUUGGUAAUAAACAGCUUGCAUCUGA
Long non-coding RNA from Ornithodoros turicata, 1261 nucleotides. RefSeq lists it as uncharacterized. NCBI's taxonomy places the organism in Eukaryota, Metazoa, Arthropoda, Arachnida, Ixodida, Argasidae. The transcript has 2 exons. The record is from RefSeq and is a predicted model, not a curated record.